RNAcentral lists this ribosomal RNA (253 nucleotides) under uncultured bacterium. RNAcentral describes it as "partial 16S ribosomal RNA". It matches the Rfam family "Bacterial small subunit ribosomal RNA", at positions 524 to 776 of the family's 1533-position model. The record is from RNAcentral.
UACGGGGGGGGCAAGCGUUGUUCGGAAUUACUGGGCGUAAAGGGCUCGUAGGCGGCCAACUAAGUCAGACGUGAAAUCCCUCGGCUUAACCGGGGAACUGCGUCUGAUACUGGAUGGCUUGAAUCCGGGAGAGGGAUGCGGAAUUCCAGGUGUAGCGGUGAAAUGCGUAGAUAUCUGGAGGAACACCGGUGGCGAAGGCGGCAUCCUGGACCGGUAUUGACGCUGAGGCGCGAAAGCCAGGGGAGCAAACGGG